AAAAUUGUGACAUUCAUGAACCUGCAGGACAUCAGAUCAAGGAACUGACCAAACAACAUUCAGUAAAGCUGAGCGUGCAAUUCGAAGAGCUACACCAGAGUUUCUCGGCCGUUCUUUACUCACAACUGUUGUUGUUUCAUGGAUAGAAGUACCUGCAUUCAGUUUCGGGUCCUCACAACGGAGAAGUACGUUUCAAGUACUAAUCGGAACAGAUGGCGAGCUGACUUACGUUAUCUUUAACUAUGCGAACAUCGAGUGGGACGUCUACCGUGCUGGAAUAACUGAUAGCGAUGGCAACCAGUUAGUUGACCUCUCCGACAUCGAUCUGUUAUCAACUAGUAACUAUGGAGUGCCAGGAAGUAGGAUAUUCGAAAUUUCAGAUGCAGUGCGUGAGAUAGGGAAAGUUCAAUGUCAACCGUCCAGCCCUUGUCAGAAUGGAGGAACGUGUACGAACGAUGAAUGCUUUUGCGCCGAGGGUUUCCACGGAAACUUCUGUCAUUUAGUUCAAUGUCAACCGUCCAGCCCUUGUCAGAAUGGAGGAACGUGUACGAACGAUGAAUGCUUUUGCGCCGAGGGUUUCCGCGGAAUCUUCUGUCAUUUAGGUAAAAAAAAAAAAAAGUCAUAUCUGUAUUG
Strongylocentrotus purpuratus (purple sea urchin) is the source of this 633-nucleotide long non-coding RNA. RefSeq lists it as uncharacterized. The record is from RefSeq and is a predicted model, not a curated record. The transcript is spliced from 5 exons. NCBI's taxonomy places the organism in Eukaryota, Metazoa, Echinodermata, Echinoidea, Camarodonta, Strongylocentrotidae.